UUCUAGAACCAUUCACACUUUCAUCUUCUUCUUUAACUCUCUCACUUUCCCUUCAUCUUCUCGGCUUGGGGUUUUAGCACAAUUUUUGCUUAAAUCUUCUUCCACUUCUUUUCAAUUCCUCCUCCACUUUCUUUUAAUCUUCUGUUCGUUACUUUUUUUCAAUGGAUUUUUUCCUAUUUUAUCAGCUUCUUGCUUGAAGUAUCAACAUUUAUGAAUCUUCUACUUUGGGUGUUACAAGGUUUGUACUCAAAAGAUAGAUAAAUAUUUACUUGCCAUGGUUAUGGAAGACUCGACGCUCCUCAUCCAUCACUUUCAGAAAGAAUAGGAGCAAGCUCUCAUGAUAGAGAUCCGGAAGAAUACAAAGUAGCAGAUGUUUUCAGCAAUGUGCAAAUCCUUGCAAUACUCUAUAUGUUUCUUAACUGGACUACGUAAUUUCUAUUUUUCAUAGGUGAUAUCGCCAUGAUAUCAACAUAAUACAUCUGGUUAAUCAUGUGGUAUAUAAUGAUAGGUGGGAAAUGAACAAUUAGUCAUAUGCUUGGAUUUGAUUUUGUAAUUGAUUUUAAAAGAAAAG
This is a long non-coding RNA of Nicotiana attenuata, 571 nucleotides long. RefSeq lists it as uncharacterized. The transcript is spliced from 3 exons. The record is from RefSeq and is a predicted model, not a curated record. Lineage: Eukaryota; Viridiplantae; Streptophyta; Magnoliopsida; Solanales; Solanaceae.